GAGCCGCGUCACUCACUUGUUAUGACGCCCAGAAACUGGACAACGGUGUCUCAGGGAAGGAAGAUUUGCGCAGUAGCAAAGAUUUGUCGAAACCACUUU
RNAcentral lists this small RNA (99 nucleotides) under Limnohabitans sp. 63ED37-2. RNAcentral describes it as "Polynucleobacter-1 RNA". It matches the Rfam family "Polynucleobacter-1 RNA". Lineage: Bacteria; Pseudomonadati; Pseudomonadota; Betaproteobacteria; Burkholderiales; Comamonadaceae. The record is from Rfam by way of RNAcentral.